GACGAACGCUGGCGGCGUGCUUAACACAUGCAAGUCGAACGGAAAGGCCCUGCUUUUGUGGGGUGCUCGAGUGGCGAACGGGUGAGUAACACGUGAGUAACCUGCCCUUGACUUUGGGAUAACUUCAGGAAACUGGGGCUAAUACCGGAUAGGAGCUCCUGCUGCAUGGUGGGGGUUGGAAAGUUUCGGCGGUUGGGGAUGGACUCGCGGCUUAUCAGCUUGUUGGUGGGGUAGUGGCUUACCAAGGCUUUGACGGGUAGCCGGCCUGAGAGGGGGACCGGCCACAUUGGGACUGAGAUACGGCCCAGACGCCUACGGGAGGCAGCAGUGGGGAAUAUUGCGCAAUGGGCGGAAGCCUGAUGCAGCAACGCCGCGUGCGGGAUGACGGCCUUCGGGUUGUAAACCGCUUUCGCCUGUGACGAAGCGUGAGUGACGGUAAUGGGUAAGGAAGCACCGGCUAACUACGUG
RNAcentral lists this ribosomal RNA (468 nucleotides) under uncultured bacterium. RNAcentral's name for it is "partial 16S ribosomal RNA". It matches the Rfam family "Bacterial small subunit ribosomal RNA", at positions 28 to 507 of the family's 1533-position model. The record is from RNAcentral.